Molecule: non-coding RNA, 112 nt
Organism: Ciborinia camelliae
Lineage: Eukaryota; Fungi; Ascomycota; Leotiomycetes; Helotiales; Sclerotiniaceae
Source: the annotation of a GenBank genome assembly
GGUCGCUUAGCUCAGUUGGUUAGAGCGUGGUGCUAAUAUCUUCUCUGUUCUUCUUUCGAACAUGAGACAGGUCCAAACGCCAAGGUCGCGAGUUCGACCCUCGUAGUGAUCA